AUAUUUCAUUAAUGUUUUAUUUUUUAGAGAAUCACUUUAAGCAAUUAAAUAACCAUUUAUCUAAAACACUGGAUAAUUUAUUUCAAAUAUAUUCCAAAUACUUAAACACUGCAUAAAUAUUAAGGUUUAACACACAUCUUUUAAUAAAUUAACCAAAUAUAACUAACAGUUCAGAUAUACUCAAAACACACCACACAAAACUAUCAAGGCUAAUGCUAGAUAUUCCAAAAGUGGUAACAGAAAUGAUUGUGUGCUGUGUAUCUCUAAUUCAAACUUGGACAUGGGCACAAUAAUUUCAUAAAGAUCUCAACAAUGACAGCUUUCAACAUUGAGUAUUUUUUCCAAUUUUACACUAAUUCUUGCAAAGGCAACAUCUGGGGACAACAAUAGAUAUAGACUCACCAAUAUAAUUUGACAGUGGUAAUUUAUCAAUUUACCAAAUAUGCCACUUCCUUUUUUUUUUUGAGACAGAGUUUCGCUCUUGCACCCAGGCUGGAGUGCGAUGGUGCGAUCUCGGCUCACCGCAACCCCUGCCUCCCGGGUUGCAGUGAGCAGCUUGGGCAACAGAGCCAGACUCCAUCUCAAAAAAAUAAUAAAAUAAAAUAAAGUAAAAAGAACAUGGUCUGCAGUAGGUGUUUUUGUUUUGUUUUUGUUUGUUUGUUUUUGAAACGGAGUCUCGCUCUGUCGCCCAGGCUGAAGUGUAGUGGCGCAAUCUCAACUCACUGCAAGCUCCGCCUCCCGGGCUCAAGCAAUUCUCCUGCCUCAGCCUCCCUAGUAGCUGGGAUUACAGUCGUGUGCCACCCUAUGCCUGGCUAAUUUUUGUAUUUUUAGUAGAGACGGCGUUUCACCAUGUUGGCCAGGCUGGUCUCAAACUCCUGACCUCAAGUGAUCCACCCACCUCGGCCUCCCAAAGGGUUGGGAUUACAGGCGUGAGCCACCAUGCCCAGCCUGCAAUAGGUAUUCAAAAUCCUCCCUAAGAGAAAAUAAUUGUGCCUCGCUAUCUACCAAAGACAUUGGUUAAAAAAAAGUCUCAGCAGUUACAAUGUACAGUAUCACCUUCCCUUCUGUAACCAAAAUACUUAUUAAAUAUAUGAAUGCUAGUUAUCAGAUUAUUUUAAAAGUUUAUUUUCUUUCUCUAAUAAUAAGGUAAAAUACAUUUUGGAAAUCUGCAUGGAAUGUUCCCAACAAGUUAUUUCAUUUUAGCAGGGUCUAUGACAUACAGCUUUAGUCAUUCUUUCAAUUACUUGGAACCACAGAAUUCUCCAAAAUACAAAAAUUAAAUUUUCAGCUUUUAUAUCAAAUAAUGGUCUCAACCAUUUAAUACAAAGCAACAUACUUUCUCAGGUUUCUGUUAAUAAGGCAAAAUAAAAGUCACUCAGAAAAAAAAGGUUAAAUCAUGAAGAUUUCUCUUUUGUAGGAUAUAAUUCACCCCUGUGGUUUCUCUUCUACCAUUAAUGUCUUAUCUACUCUAAUUCCUUCAAAGUUUCAAGUUCAAUACAGUAUAACAUAUGCAGAGAUUUUAUAGUUUUUAUCAUAGAUUUUUUUUUUCAACAUUGUUUUCAGGAUGUUUUAAACACUUUCACAACUAUUACCUCAGAUUUGUGAUUAUGGCUUAUAGUACGGUCUACUUUCAAAACCAUGAUUUUUGGAUCAUGGCCCAUCCAAGAUUUUACUCUGUUCAGAAAAAGAAAAAAAAUUACAUAUCCAGAGUUUCACAAGCAAUUCAGGGGUUUUUCCCACAGACAUCAAAAACCUUGCAAUAAAGGGGUGAAAUCCAAAAAUUACUUUCGAUUUCAAAGGUUUAAUAUUUUUAAAAAAUUGAGAAAUCUAUUUAAGGUGUUGAAUAAACUUUUUAUGACUUAUCAGGCAAAAUUAAAAUAUUUAUCAUGGGCAGGGCACGGUGGCUUACACCUGUAAUCCCAGCAUUUUGAGAGGUCAAGGCUGGACGACUGCUUGAAGCUAUGAGAUUGGGACUAGCCUGGAAAAUAUAGCGGACCCCACCUCUAUAAAAAAUUAUUAUUUUUUAUUAGCUGGGCAUAGUGCUGUGUGCCUGUAGUCCUAGCUACCAGAGAGGCUGAGGUGGAAAGAUCCUUUUUUGUUGUUGAGACAGGGUCUCACUCUGUCACCCAGACAGGAAUGUAGUACCACAAUCACUGCUUACUGAAGCCUUGACCUCCUGGGUUCAAGUAACCCUCCCGCCUAAGCUUCCCAAGUAGCUGGGACUACUGGUGUGUACCACCAUGCCUGGAUAAUUAAAAAAAAAAAAGAAGUCAUAAAGACAGGUUCUUAUUAUAUUGACCAGGUUGGUCUUGAACUCUUGACCUCAAGUGAUCCUCCUGCCUUGGCCUCCUAAAGUGUUGUGAUUACAGGUGUGAGCCACAGCAUCCAGCCUAAGGAAGAUCCCUUGAGCCUAGGAAUUUGAGGCUGCAGUGAGCUAUGAUUGCAUCACUGUACUCCAGCUUGGGCAAAAGUGAGACCAUGUCUCUAAAAAAUAAUAAUAAAAUAAAAUAAAGUAUUUACAAUGGAAGGAAUCUGUGGUGUUACUUUUAGGUAAUCUCAGAAGAACUUUUCAAACUCAGAUGUAUAUAUGCGGCAACCAAUGUGCAUAUGGAGAUACUGACAUAGAGAGAAAAAUGUUCAAUCUAUCAUAAUGUACUAUCUUGUUUCGUC
RNAcentral lists this long non-coding RNA (2670 nucleotides) under Homo sapiens (human). RNAcentral's name for it is "HSALNT0062683". Lineage: Eukaryota; Metazoa; Chordata; Mammalia; Primates; Hominidae. The record is from RNAcentral.